This 26-nucleotide non-coding RNA is filed under the name Homo sapiens (human). The record is from RNAcentral. Lineage: Eukaryota; Metazoa; Chordata; Mammalia; Primates; Hominidae.
UAACUAUUGGAUGGCAUUUCUGGACC